UACGUAGGGAGCGAGCGUUGUCCGAAGUUACUGGGCGUAAAGCGCGCGUAGGCGGGUUUGAAAGUCGGAGGUGAAAUGCUGGGGCUCAACUCCAUGCAGUGCCUCCGAUACUUCAAGUCUUGAGUGCGGUAGGGAGAAGUGGAAUGGCUGGUGUAGCGGUGAAAUGCGUAGAGAUCGGGAGGAACACCAGUGGCGAAGGCGACUACCUGGCCUGUUCUUGACGCUGAGGCGCGAAAGCUAGGGGAGCAAACAGG
Molecule: ribosomal RNA, 254 nt
Filed under: uncultured bacterium
Lineage: Bacteria
Description: partial 16S ribosomal RNA
Rfam family: Bacterial small subunit ribosomal RNA
Source: RNAcentral